RNAcentral lists this long non-coding RNA (1225 nucleotides) under Neogale vison (American mink). Its description in RNAcentral is "Neovison vison (American mink) lncRNA (ENSNVIG00000008076.1)". The record is from RNAcentral. Lineage: Eukaryota; Metazoa; Chordata; Mammalia; Carnivora; Mustelidae.
GUUAGUUGGAUUAAAUGAAUUCAUGAAUAUAAAAAUAUUUUGCUGAGUAUAAGAUGUACCACAGAUGUGGGGGAUUAAAUGUAAGGGACUGCUCGCAGGAAUCUGUUCCUAAUGCAUUUAGUAUAUGGCCCUCAGUAAGCAUGAAGGUUUCGAGUCCCCGUUAGAAGCCAGACUUUCAGAACAACUGUCUUCCUAUCCCGUGCACUUUUGAAUAAUGCUUUUUCUUAAUGAAAGUGUUGUAUACACAGUAACCAGUCCAAGUGGUAGAAAAUGAAAACUGAAAGUUCGCUCUCACCUCAAACCCAAGUAUAACGCCCAGACCCGAACAGUUAUACUUAACCUUAUAAUAGCUCAGAACUUGACAAUGAGUCUGCCAUUGUUACAAGCUCUUCACAGAUGAACUCCGUUGGACACUCUCAACAACCCUAUGGCUCAGGGAUUCCUGUGACCCUGGUUGUAUGUAUGAGCAAACUGAGUCACAGGGACAAGAAGCUGUUUGCGCAGGGUCACACAGCCACACACAGUCACGGGCGCUCACACAGCCUGGCUUCCAAGUUCAUACUCUGAGGCACCUUUCCAAACGAGUAUAUGGAAUACCUAUGGUACAUUCCAUUGUAUAAUGUAUCCUGCUAAGAUUUUUACAAUCUCCUAAAUUUUUCAGUGUUCAAAAUGAAGUACAAAACAUAGGAAACUUGGGCCACCCUGGACCACCUAGUGCUCUCGUGUUUGUCUACAGCUUACAUUUCUGCAAGUGGAAAGCGGAAACAAAGACUGAAUGUCUCAGGCGAUAACCAUCAGGCUGCCUUCCACGCUGAAGAGCAAUGAUCACUGGGGGUCUGCAGACCCCCAGAGUCACGGAGAGGACAUGGAAGAAAGGGAAGGAGAGAGAGAGACCAAGAAAUGGAGACACAGAUCUGUUAUGUGCUAAAAACAAAGAAGAACCUCAUAACCGAUGUGUAUAUGUAUGUCUGAGCAUCAGAGGACACAGACCUCCAGAAUCCUGUGUGCGUGUUUGAGAAGGAUAAAUAGUCCGCAUUUGAGAGCAUGUGGCAAGACAUGAUUCCUAGCUUACUUCGUAUUUCGUAUUAAAUACAAAAAGACACCUUAAUACACUAACAGCAGAAAUUCAGUCUAUUUUGCCUUUAUGGACAUCUGUUCUCAGACUAAUGGUUGUUUACCUAACUGCUAUAAUAAAGGCUAAUUUCUACAUUAAAGUAAUACUUGG